GUAAAUAUAGUUUAAAUAAAACAUUAGACUGUGAAUCUAAAGACAGGUAAUAAACUCCCUUAUUUACC
RNAcentral lists this transfer RNA (68 nucleotides) under Lemniscomys rosalia (single-striped grass mouse). Its description in RNAcentral is "tRNA-His". It matches the Rfam family "tRNA". Rfam says of the family: Transfer RNA (tRNA) molecules are approximately 80 nucleotides in length. Their secondary structure includes four short double-helical elements and three loops (D, anti-codon, and T loops). The record is from RNAcentral. Lineage: Eukaryota; Metazoa; Chordata; Mammalia; Rodentia; Muridae.